GAAGGAGAAAGAGAGGAGGCCGGGGCGGGCUCUAGGCCGUUGAAUCUGGGGCCUCAAAGCCCCUUCGUCUCCCUGGCACCCACUCUCUGGGGGCAGGCGGGCCCGGUGACAGGGAGCCCUGAAGACCAUGGAGGCCUACUGACCAACGACCUCUGACCUUUACCCCUCCGGAUGGGGGACGGAUCACUAGGCAAAGGGGAACAAUGGGAAGGAGACAAAAUGGCUGCCUCUACAGCUGCAGCAAGAUUUGCAAACACGGGUUCCGCAGGCACCUCCAUUGACUUCCCGCCUUGGGAACAUGAAAUAAAUAAAGUGUGACUAGGAACAUGA
Long non-coding RNA from Cebus imitator (Panamanian white-faced capuchin), 330 nucleotides. RefSeq lists it as uncharacterized. The transcript has 2 exons. The record is from RefSeq and is a predicted model, not a curated record. NCBI's taxonomy places the organism in Eukaryota, Metazoa, Chordata, Mammalia, Primates, Cebidae.